CUUUUUUAAAAAAGAAACGAUAACUGAUUAGGAUAUAGCACGAGCUUAUUCGCUAUGCCUGGUUAAACAUAGACGAAGCGACUCAACGCCCCUGCAAUAAUCUAUCGCCUCACGAAUAAAAUCGAUGAAAGAAUCAUCCCGUAGAUAUUGAAUACUCUACAGGAAAUUCAAUCUGAGAGGCGAAUCCAAUCAGCUACAAAACGAUUCUAAAAG
RNAcentral lists this small RNA (213 nucleotides) under Arabidopsis thaliana (thale cress). RNAcentral's name for it is "ATSL140530". Lineage: Eukaryota; Viridiplantae; Streptophyta; Magnoliopsida; Brassicales; Brassicaceae. The record is from RNAcentral.